RNAcentral lists this ribosomal RNA (253 nucleotides) under uncultured bacterium. Its description in RNAcentral is "partial 16S ribosomal RNA". It matches the Rfam family "Bacterial small subunit ribosomal RNA", at positions 524 to 776 of the family's 1533-position model. The record is from RNAcentral.
UACGUGGGGUGCAAGCGUUGUUCGGAAUUACUGGGCGUAAAGCGUGUGAAGGCGGCUCGCUAAGUCUAAUGUGAAAUCCCUGGGCUUAACCCAGGAACUGCAUCGGAAACUGGUGAGCUAGAGUCUAGGAGAGGGUCGUGGAAUUCCUGGUGUAGAGGUGAAAUUCGUAGAUAUCAGGAGGAACACCGGUGGCGAAGGCGGCGACCUGGACUAGUACUGACGCUAAUACACGAAAGCGUGGGGAGCAAACAGG